Scaptodrosophila lebanonensis is the source of this 1106-nucleotide long non-coding RNA. RefSeq lists it as uncharacterized. NCBI's taxonomy places the organism in Eukaryota, Metazoa, Arthropoda, Insecta, Diptera, Drosophilidae. The record is from RefSeq and is a predicted model, not a curated record. The transcript is spliced from 2 exons.
UACUCGUGCGUGAGGGGUGAGGACCAGUGCUACCAAUUAGGAGGGUUGCAAAGUGGGUAAAAUAGCAAUUCCGGGGGAAUGGCAAGUCGUGGCCUUAGGGAAGAAGAAAAAUCAAUUGUGGACAGUGAGCGAGAGACACGUGCUAUUGCGGGAAAAAAACAAAAAAAGAGACAAAAUAAGCGGAAGACAAUAUUCAAACACCGGAGUGACGACAGGAGGGUUGGGAUAUACACCAGCGAGGCUUCAUAGGCAGAGGAGUAGCAGUAACUGCGGGCGUUCUGGGAAGUGCGCUGUGCGCGGGUCAGCACCGACCGGCAGUACUGGGUCUUAGGCCGGACCUCGGCCCUAGCGGAAGUCAGGCCAAUUUCCAUGCAACUGGAAGUCUGGGCUAAGUACCCUUCAACAUUAAAAUACUAAAUAUUCACACACAUUCCGCUCAAACAUAGAACACAAAAUUUUAUAUACACCACACACUCCUUUAUAUACACUCCAUACAUGUUCACAUACACCAUAUUCAAACACACACCGAAUUUCCAUAGCACUCAGACUCACAUUCAUCCCAUAGCCACAUAAUAUAAAAUACAAAACAAAAGCAACACCCAAACAUUUAACCAUAUUGUAAUACACACACGCCCAUAGCCACAUAAUGUAAAAUACAAAACAAAAAAAACGACACACAAAACAAUUAACAAUUUUCUGUUACACACAUAGCCCAAACCAUUCACAACAUAAUAUAAAACAUUAAACAGAAACACAACACCAAACAAGUAACCAUAUUGUAAACAAAAAUUCAAAUGUAUACUUAAGAAAAAAGAACAUAAAAAAAAAAAAAGAAAAGUAAAAGAAAAUGUAUAAAGUCUAAUAUAAGCAAAAGAGGUUGGAAUGUGUAUUGGAGCGGCGCAGUUUUUUUUUUGUUUAUCUCCUUGUCAUUACAUAUCAUUACACCCCUCAUAACCACAUACUCGAGUAUAGGUAGCGUAGGAGGUUCGAAAAUCGAAUAAGAUAAAUAGGCACAAAGAGCCAACAAACUGCAGCGUCCCAAAACUCAAUGGCCUAAAUACCCGAAUAUAUUUUUAUUGUAAUAAAAUUUAAAAUUUGAAAAUGAG